This 552-nucleotide ribosomal RNA is filed under the name uncultured delta proteobacterium. RNAcentral describes it as "bacterial SSU rRNA". It matches the Rfam family "Bacterial small subunit ribosomal RNA", at positions 355 to 897 of the family's 1533-position model. Lineage: Bacteria; Deltaproteobacteria. The record is from RNAcentral.
UGGGGAAUUUUUGGCAAUGGGGGCAACCCUGACCAAGCAACGCCGCGUGGGUGAUGAAGGCCUUCGGGUCGUAAAGCCCUGUCGGAGGGGAAGAAGGGUUGGCGUUCGAAUAGGGCGCUGAUUUGACGGUACCCUCAAAGGAAGCACCGGCUAACUCCGUGCCAGCAGCCGCGGUAAUACGGAGGGUGCAAGCGUUGCUCGGAAUCACUGGGCGUAAAGGGCGUGUAGGCGGUUUCGUAUGUCUGGCGUGAAAGCCCCGGGCUCAACCCGGGAAGUGCGUUGGAAACUGCGAAACUAGAGUCUCGGAGAGGAAGGUGGAAUUCCAGGUGUAGCGGUGAAAUGCGUAGAUAUCUGGAAGAACACCGGUGGCGAAGGCGGCCUUCUGGACGAUGACUGACGCUGAGACGCGAAAGCGUGGGGAGCAAACAGGAUUAGAUACCCUGGUAGUCCACGCCAUAAACGAUGGGAACUAGGUGUCGCGGGUAUUGACCCCUGCGGUGCCGCAGCUAACGCAUUAAGUUCCCCGCCUGGGGACUACGGCCGCAAGGUUAA